Molecule: ribosomal RNA, 492 nt
Filed under: uncultured bacterium
Lineage: Bacteria
Description: partial 16S ribosomal RNA
Rfam family: Bacterial small subunit ribosomal RNA
Source: RNAcentral
AGUGAACGCUGGCGGUAGGCCUAACACAUGCAAGUCGAACGGCAGCACAGUAAGAGCUUGCUCUUACGGGUGGCGAGUGGCGGACGGGUGAGGAAUACAUCCGAAUCUACUUUUUCGUGGGGGAUAACGUAGGGAAACUUACGCUAAUACCGCAUACGACCUACGGGUGAAAGCAGGGGAUCUUCGGACCUUGCGCGAUUGAAUGAGCCGAUGUCGGAUUAGCUAGUUGGCGGGGUAAAGGCCCACCAAGGCGACGAUCCGUAGCUGGUCUGAGAGGAUGAUCAGCCACACUGGAACUGAGACACGGUCCAGACUCCUACGGGAGGCAGCAGUGGGGAAUAUUGGACAAUGGGCGCAAGCCUGAUCCGGCCAUACCGCGUGGGUGAAGAAGGCCUUCGGGUUGUAAAGCCCUUUUGUUGGGAAAGAAAAGCAGCAGGUUAAUACCCCGCUGUGCUGACGGUACCCAAAGAAUAAGCACCGGCUAACUUCGUG